AGAGUUUGAUCCUGGCUCAGGACGAACGCUGGCGGCGUGCUUAACACAUGCAAGUCGAACGGAAAGGCCCUUCGGGGUGCUCGAGUGGCGAACGGGUGAGUAACACGUGGGUGAUCUUCCCCGCACUUUGGGAUAAGCCUGGGAAACUGGGUCUAAUACCGGAUAGGACCAUGGCCUUCAUGGGUUGUGGUGGAAAGCUUUUGCGGUGUGGGAUGGGCCCGCGGCCUAUCAGCUUGUUGGUGGGGUAAUGGCCUACCAAGGCGACGACGGGUAGCCGGCCUGAGAGGGUGACCGGCCACACUGGGACUGAGAUACGGCCCAGACUCCUACGGGAGGCAGCAGUGGGGAAUAUUGCACAAUGGGCGCAAGCCUGAUGCAGCGACGCCGCGUGGGGGAUGACGGGCCUUCGGGUUGUAAACCUCUUUCAGCACAGACGAAGCGUGAGUGACGGUAUGUGCAGAAGAAGCACCGGGCCAACUACGUGCCAGCAGCCGCGGUAAUACGUAGGGUGCGAGCGUUGUCCGGAAUUACUGGGCGUAAAGAGCUCGUAGGUGGUUGUCGCGUGUUCGUGAAACUCACAGCUUAACUGCGGGCGUGGGGGGCGAUACGGGCAGACUGGAGUACUGCAGGGGAGACUGAUGCUGGGUGUAGCGGGUGGAUGGCGCAGAAAUCAGGAGGAACACGGUGGCGAUGGCGGUCUCUGGCAGUACUGACGCUGAGGUAGCGAAUGCGUUGGGAGGAA
RNAcentral lists this ribosomal RNA (742 nucleotides) under bacterium enrichment culture. RNAcentral's name for it is "bacterial SSU rRNA". It matches the Rfam family "Bacterial small subunit ribosomal RNA", at positions 8 to 771 of the family's 1533-position model. The record is from RNAcentral.